Molecule: non-coding RNA, 306 nt
Organism: Zootermopsis nevadensis
Lineage: Eukaryota; Metazoa; Arthropoda; Insecta; Blattodea; Termopsidae
Source: RefSeq, a predicted model, not a curated record
AAUUUGACAGACUUGUUGCUCAGGUCCAGUCUCUGCCAAUUGACAGCAUUGAUCGCCUGGAGGGCGUCAUCAACCUCAUAUUUGAAAAGGCCGUUGAUGAACCCAGCUUCUCCGAGGCGUACGCAAGAAUGUGCAAAGUUCUGUCCGGCACGCAAGUUCCUGCAGAGUGCGAGAUCAAGGAUGAACCAGAGAUUAACUUCAGGAAGCUGCUGCUAAACCAAUGACAGAAUCAGUUUAAAAAGGAUUCUGAGGUGGAGCUGGAUCGAGAAGCAAGGCGUAAAGAGAUUGAGGAAGCAGCAGAGCUAG